Columba livia (rock pigeon) is the source of this 1318-nucleotide long non-coding RNA. RefSeq lists it as uncharacterized. The transcript has 3 exons. Lineage: Eukaryota; Metazoa; Chordata; Aves; Columbiformes; Columbidae. The record is from RefSeq and is a predicted model, not a curated record.
GGGAAGGGAAGGGAAGGGAAGGGAAGGGAAGGCCCUCUCUGCUUAUUUUUUGUAUUUGUGCUCUGGUUAUGGAUGUGUUUUAGAUAUUGAAUGGUUGCAGCUUUAAUAAAAUUUGUGAUUAAAGUUCUCAUAGCAGCUCUGCACAAGGAAGGAUGCUGGCUUGGAAGUAAAACUUUAAGGGAAUGCAACUGGCUAACGUCUCCUAAAACUUCCUCCUCUUAAUUGAAAAGUACAAGAGCAAGAAAUGCAGGGAUGUUUACAUGCGGCCUGGAUGGGAUAACAAAUAAAGAACAAAGUGGAAUCCUCAAAAUCAGGAGGAAAUGUGUUUAAGUGGCUUCAGAUCCACUAUCUCAACAUCUCUUCAAGCUGUAAAGCACUUAAUUAGCUAAUUUUGGUGGAUUUCAUCAAAGAUUCCUACCAGGAAGAUUUCUGAGGUGGGAGCAGUAAGGCAACAGGCAACUGGGACCUUUCUCCCUGCUGCUAUGUAGCCUCUGAUCCUGUGUGCCUAGCACCAGUGUCUUCUCCAGCCAUCCUCCCCUCGGCCAUCCAGACUGUGGGCACUGCAGUAGCACACUGAUGGGCUGAGAGGCUGUGAAAGAUGAGAACUGGAAGAGGCAACAGGAAGGGAGAGCAAAAUUAGGUGGUACAGAGUCAGGAAGACUUAAACAACAUGAAUUAAAUGCCAUAGAUAUAAGCAUGCACAAUAAAAAAGGUGUUUAUAUGCCUAUUGUCUUUUCUGUGAUACUUUUCUGAUUCUUCUCUGUCUGGGCUUGGUGUCUAGCUAUUUUGCUAUUUUUUUGUCUUUAGUGUUUAAUACUAUUGUGUUGGACUAAUUAUCAGUGUAUUUAUAUGUGUGUGCGUGUACCCUGAACAGAUAUUUGCCUGAAAAACUGGAACAUAAAAUAUACAGUAUUUCUGUUUUGAUAAAACAUUACAACUUAUACUUCAGUUUCUCUGCCUUUCUUUAAACAAGAAAUUGUUUAACAAUUUGAACAUUAAAACAGCCCCUUUCCACCCAAGCCUCUCAAUGGUGGUCUGUUUAAAUGUUUUGCAGAGUAAGUAGUUUAAUAAUGUAGGUAGGAAACUAACUCUUCAAAUAGAAACAUAAAAGUUCACAUUUGUUUGUUUGUUUGUUUGCUUGCUUGCUUGUUUGUUUGUUUAAACAUAUUACAGAGGAAUGGGUGUAACAGAUGUUUGAAAUCUGAAGUGAGUUCUGCUGAAACUCUUUGCACACUACAUGCUACAUUUCUGUCACCAACUGGAUUUUUAUUUAUGAAGUUCUGUUUUUUUUCUGUUUGCCUUCUAAGAUUGUUGGUAC